CCUACGGGAGGCAGCAGUGAGGAAUAUUGGUCAAUGGGCGGAAGCCUGAACCAGCCAAGUAGCGUGCAGGAUGACUGCCCUACGGGUUGUAAACUGCUUUUAUACGGGAAUAACGCGCCUUACGUGUAGGGCUUUGCAUGUACCGUAUGAUUAAGGGCAGGCUAAUUCCGUGCCAGCAGCCGCGGUAAUACGGAAGGUCCGGGCGUUAUCCGGAUUUAUUGGGUUUAAAGGGAGCGUAGGCGGCAGGUCAAGCGUGCGGUGAAAUGUCCGGGCUCAACCCGGGCAUUGCAGCGCGAACUGGCGAGCUGGAGUCCGCGGAAGGCAGGCGGAAUUCGUGGUGUAGGGGUGAAAUGCUUAGAUAUGACGAAGAACCCCGAUUGCGAAGGCAGCUUGCUGCAGCGGAACUGACGCUGAUGCUCGAAAGCGCGGGUAUCGAACAGGAUUAGAUACCCGAGUAGUC
RNAcentral lists this ribosomal RNA (460 nucleotides) under uncultured bacterium. RNAcentral describes it as "partial 16S ribosomal RNA". It matches the Rfam family "Bacterial small subunit ribosomal RNA", at positions 338 to 795 of the family's 1533-position model. The record is from RNAcentral.